Ictalurus punctatus (channel catfish) is the source of this 1974-nucleotide long non-coding RNA. The record is from Ensembl. Lineage: Eukaryota; Metazoa; Chordata; Actinopteri; Siluriformes; Ictaluridae.
CGAAAACGCAGCUUUUAUUUAAUAAAAAGAUGCACGAGGUUCCCUUUUCGUCCGUGAUGUUAAAGUUAAAGUCGGAUUUAAGGUUUAGACCAGAGUCGAUCGGCGGCGUUCAUAAUCAUUUCUGUGGAAUGUCCUCACGAGGAUAGUGCAAGUAGUACAAGGGCGUGGGUGUGUGCGUGUGCGUGUGCGUGUAAGUGUGCGUGCAAGUGUGUGUCAAUGAACAGAGGAAAAAAAACAGAUAGAGAAACAAUUAUUAAUUAUUUUGAGCAAGUCAAGGAGCACUUGAGUGACAGAUUAUUUCCGUGUGUGUGUGUGUGUGAAUGAAUAUCAGGAAUGAAUAAAUAGUAAAAUGCGACACAGCACUAUCAUCUCUCAGUGAUGUUGCCUUAAUGUCCUUGGUGCUUGAAUUCAUGAGAAGAAACUCCUUUAAAAAAUAAAAUCCUUUCCACACUAACCUGUUUGAAUCCUUUUCUUUUCACUGCCUCCGCUCGCUCCUGGCGUAGGUGUGUUUGUGUCACAGUGUUUGGCUACGUUCACAUUCCUGUGCUCCGGGGCUCGGCUGACAGCUCAUCAUCCGUUCACGAUCGGGUCAAGGUCCUGUUUUUACUCCUAUUGAAGGUUUCUCAGCUGCCGACGGACGAUGACGACGACGGCAGCGAUGUGCACGCGCGCAGCACGACGCCCUGAAUCUCUCAGCAUCACAGGAUAAGCGGUACAGAAAAUGGAUGGAUGGAUGGAUGCAACCCAUUGAGCUGAUUAAAUAAGCAAUAACAUGGCCUUCUUUAGGCUGGUUGAGUAUCUGGAGCAUCAGCAUUUGUGGGUUUGAUUAUAGACUCAAAAUGACCAGGAAAAAAAAAACAACUCUACUGAAACUCAUCAGUGUUUCCUUGUUCCAAGAAAGGACGGCUAUUCCAUGCAUCAGAUCGGCAAGAAACUGAAGAGUUCAUUCAAAGGGAUGAAGCAUUUCUACAGCGCUGUCGAAGGACUCGGAGCUUUGACUGAAGAAACCAGACCCGAUACCGUACCUUCGGACGAGGCCGAUUUUACGAGGCACAAAGCCCCGCCCCUAAACACCCAUCCGAAACAGGAGCGUAACAGAGGUGGUACGCAGUCUGCGAAGUGUGUAACAUCCAGCUGAACUCGGCCGCACAGGCGCAGAUACACUACAACGGGAAAACCCACCAGAAGAGACUGAAACACAUGAACAGCGGAAACAAAGGUAGGACGCACACGCGUUUGGGUUUGAGCGGCGAGCUAUACACAGCAUCGUAGGUUUUAAUCGCGGUGUCGGUGCAGAACUCAAAGCAUUUCCUACAUGAGGAGUGUUCAUUCGCUGCACAGCGUGAAGCACAGGUUUCACAUUUCACCUCAGUUUAGGAGGAGGAGACCGCCGCCUCCUGUUCGUUCCUGAUCAACACCUAGAAAACUAGUCUGUCCAGCUCAUGUCUGAGAGAAUGAAAUACAGAGCACGAUGGAUCGGUUCAUAAAAUCGACUCUUCCAUCAUGCAUCCCGAACCACAUGGUAUACUUGUUAGUUCAUGUCGCUAGUCAUGUUGUGUAUGAUUCCUCAGCGUCAAUCACAUAAAGUUACAAUGAGUGAAUUUAGAAGGGGCGGGGCAUGGUGGUUUAGUGGGUAGCAUGUUUGCUUCACACCUCCAGGGUUGUGGGUUCGAACCCCACCUCGACCUCGUGCGCGCGGAGCUCGCAUGUUCUCGCCGUGCUUCCGGGGUUUCCUCCGGGUGCUCCGGUUUCCCCCUCCGGUCCGAAGACACGCCAUUUCCAGAUGAUUUCCUGCGACGGAUUGGCAUCCCGUCCAGGGUGUCAGCCACCUGACAGUUUAUUAUUAUUUUAUUUAAAUUCUUGAUUCCUAAUUUAAGAAUUAUUGUAAGAUUUGAACCAUUUAUCACGCGUCAGUAAAGGUGGCUCUCAUUUUUUUUCUGCAUGCAAAUAUACCGUGUAUCUGGGUCGUCUGCG